RNAcentral lists this long non-coding RNA (1246 nucleotides) under Equus asinus (donkey). RNAcentral's name for it is "lncRNA (ENSEASG00005024516.1)". The record is from RNAcentral. Lineage: Eukaryota; Metazoa; Chordata; Mammalia; Perissodactyla; Equidae.
CAGUCUCAGUGGGCGGUUGGGCGGGGGGACAUGGGGGCACACCAAAAUAACCUCCCUGACUGGUGAGGUGUCAUGCUGGGCAAAUGAAACUCCCUGUGCCUCAGUUUCUUCAUCUGUCAAAUGGAAAAGUUACUACUACUAAUCAGCUCAUGUGAAGAUUAAAGGCAUUCAUGUAUAUGAGAUACUCCAUGCCUGGCACAUAAUGAGACCUUAAUAAGUCAUUGCUAUGAUGAUAAUGAUGACGCUGGAGGCAGAGACAGCAGCAUGUGGGGGGUUGAGACCAAGUAGACAGCACAUCUAGAGUCAUCAGGGUAGGCUUUGGAGCAGGUGGUUGUAGAUGUGGCCUUGAAGGCUGGGAGGGGUGUGUCCCAGGAGGCAGAAAGAACAGGAGGAGGUAAAGUACGUAUAUAAUGCUGGCAAUUCUGGAAGCUACCCAGUGUGGCUACACACCAGGGUCAGGGCAAGGGGUAUGAGCCUGGAGCCUGGAAGACCGCUGUGCAGGUGAGGAGGAGAGAUGUUGAGAUCUUCUCCCACCCACUUCAGUGCCAGAGAGGAGGGAUCUUCCCCGCACAGCACAGGAGCUGUCAGGACAGAGAGCCACAGGCCUCAGAGCUGGGCACGAACCAAAUGCCUCCUGGAUCCACCAAGGUGUGAAGGAUAAAUGUGCUCCCCGUUACUGCACUGCCACGGGAGGGACCCUGAUCAUUCCCUGGCAGCUCCUUUCCUCGCCUCGCCUCCGACACUGCGGCGGGCUGCAAAACACGGAGCGCGGAGCCGCCGCCACACCUGGAAUCCGAAGCGGGCUAUCGGCCGCAGCCGCCUCCGCCUGUGCGGGGAGGGGAGUGCGCGCGCGCGGGCGCGCGGGCUUGUGUGUGUCCAACUCGGGCUACGCAGGAGCUGAUUAUGAUUUGAGACGGAGGCUGCCUCAAAUCAUGAGUGGGGAAGGAGUGUGGAAGAAGAAAAGGGGGACGUGUUUGUAUGUGUACGUGAACGUGAGGAUUUACUGAACAGGGGAAUAUCUCGUGUUUUGUUUUUUGAGUGUAUGUGGGGUUGUACAGCAAUGAGUGUGUGUGUGCAAUUGCGUGUCUGUGUGAGUGUGCUUGCUAUGGCCGUGUAUACGGGCAUAUUUGUGAGAGAAACUGUACGUGUGUGGGUGUGGAAUCGUGUUUGUAAUACUGAGUUGGCGCGAAUGUGUGUGCCGUUUGUGUAGGAGUUUCCAUGUAAGUGGCAACGGACUUGAGCCAAG